RNAcentral lists this ribosomal RNA (465 nucleotides) under uncultured bacterium. Its description in RNAcentral is "partial 16S ribosomal RNA". It matches the Rfam family "Bacterial small subunit ribosomal RNA", at positions 338 to 795 of the family's 1533-position model. The record is from RNAcentral.
CCUACGGGAGGCAGCAGUAGGGAAUCUUCCACAAUGGGCGAAAGCCUGAUGGAGCAACGCCGCGUGGGUGAAGAAGGUCUUCGGAUCGUAAAACCCUGUUGUUAGAGAAGAAAGUGCGUGAGAGUAACUGUUCACGUUUCGACGGUAUCUAACCAGAAAGCCACGGCUAACUACGUGCCAGCAGCCGCGGUAAUACGGAGGUGGCAAGCGUUAUCCGGAUUUAUUGGGCGUAAAGGGAACGCAGGCGGUCUUUUAAGUCUGAUGUGAAAGCCUUCGGCUUAACCGGAGUAGUGCAUUGGAAACUGGGAGACUGGAGUGCAGAAGAGGAGAGUGGAACUCCAUGUGUAGCGGUGAAAUGCGGAGAUAUAUGGAAGAACACCAGUGGCGAAAGCGGCUCUCUGGUCUGUAACUGACGCUGAGGUUCGAAAGCGUGGGUAGCAAACAGGAUUAGAUACCCCUGUAGUC